GCCAGCAGCCGCGGUAAUACUAGCUCCAGUAGCGUAUAUUAAGUUGUUGCAGUUAAAAAGCUCGUAGUUGGACUUGUGUGUGUUGCUGUUCAGCGGUCUGCAUUCAAAAAGUGUUACGACAUGCGGCAGUGGCGCCGUAAAAUCUUCAACUGGAUCGUAACUGGACUUAAUUCCUGGUUGCAGUCAUUCGGUUGAUCGUUUACUGUGAGAAAAUUAGAGUGUUCAAGGCAGGCAUUAUUGCAAUUGAAUAUGUUAACAUGGAAUAAUAAGAUAGGGCUCCGGCAUUUUGUUGGUUUCUAGAGCGUGGGAGUAAUGAUUGAUAGGGACAGUUGGGGUGCUAGUAUUCAGCGGCCAGAGGUGAAAUUCAUGGAUUCGCUGAAGACUGACUUAUGCGAAAGCAUUCACCAAGGAUGUCCUCUUUAAUCAAGAACGAAAGUUGGGGGAUCGAAGACGAUCAGAUACCGUCGUAGUCUCAACCAUAAACUAUGUCGACUAGGGAUUGGCAGUCGUUUUUUUAUAGACUCUGUCAGCACCUUAUGAGAAAUCAAAGUGUCUGGACUCUUGGGGAAGUAUGGUCGCAAGGCUGAAACUUAAAGGAAUUGACGGAAGGGCACCACCAGGAGUGGAGCCUGCGGCUUAAUUUGACUCAACACGGGAAAACUUACCAGGUCCAGAGAUGUAGAGGAUUGACAGAUUGAAGCUCUUUCUUGAUCACUUCGGUGGUGGUGCAUGGCCGUUCUUAGUUGGUGGAGUGAUUUGUCUGGUUAAUUCCGUU
This 775-nucleotide ribosomal RNA is filed under the name uncultured Plasmodiophoridae. Its description in RNAcentral is "SSU rRNA". It matches the Rfam family "Eukaryotic small subunit ribosomal RNA", at positions 566 to 1329 of the family's 1831-position model. Lineage: Eukaryota; Endomyxa; Phytomyxea; Plasmodiophorida. The record is from RNAcentral.